RNAcentral lists this unclassified non-coding RNA (213 nucleotides) under Hevea brasiliensis (rubber tree). The record is from RNAcentral. Lineage: Eukaryota; Viridiplantae; Streptophyta; Magnoliopsida; Malpighiales; Euphorbiaceae.
UUGGUUGGCUUAUUGCCGUGAGGGACACUUUGAGUUGUCGAGGUUGGGUAGCUUGUAUAAGAGUGGUUGCCGUGAGGUUCUUGGAGCAUCUUGGUGUUGGAUUAUUGCCGUGAGUAUUCGGUGAGACCCUUGGUAUUUGGGUUGGUUGCCGUGAACCUUAGGUGCAAGGUUGGUGACCGUGAGAUCCUUGGGACAGUUUGAGAGGCUGACUUG